Long non-coding RNA from Spinacia oleracea (spinach), 863 nucleotides. RefSeq lists it as uncharacterized. The transcript is spliced from 3 exons. Lineage: Eukaryota; Viridiplantae; Streptophyta; Magnoliopsida; Caryophyllales; Amaranthaceae. The record is from RefSeq and is a predicted model, not a curated record.
CUACCCUUUCACAUCUUCUUCUUUCUUUCUCGAUUUUUCACUUAUGUCCUCUAGAUUUUCUUCAUCGCUCCUCUUCUAUACCAAAGCAUCGUUCUACAAUACUCCUCUUCCACCAAUUCCAUCAUCAUCGACUAAGGACAACUUUUUAAUGGCAAUUUUCAGGAAAAUGCUUCCCAGGAUGGUGAUGCCCUGACACAGUUAUAUUGCAAUUCUAUCACCGGUUUUGAGACACAUAAAUCUUCUUAAGCUUGCUCAUUUUUCCGUCAUAGUAUCCCAACAGCAUGUGGAGAAAGAAACAAAUGUUGGUUAUCUUAAAGGGGUGAUGGAUAAGCUUAAUGUACAAAGGAGAAUCGUAUAGAGGAACCUGUCCUCUACACAAAGAUGCAGAUAGCUCUGUUUAAUCUUAAGCAAGGGGAACAAAAAGAAUGCAAGAUACUCUUAGAAAAUGGAAAAACCACACUUGAUAACAUGACUAAUAUUGGUCCAUCAGUGGUACAAGGAGGUGGCGCCGGAGAUAACGCUGAGGAGGGUUCGAAGGUUGUGGUCGAGAAGUCAGUUUCAGCAAUGUUUCCCUUUUAUAUGCAUGAAAGCUAUUAUAGUAUUAUUAGUACCGAAAUUGUGUAUAUCUACGCCUUUUGCGAGCAACCCUCUUGUUUAUGUUGCAUUGCUUAGUAUUUAAAUUACCUUGUGUGAUGGUUUUUUUUAGAGGAACAUGGAAGACUUGUGAUUUUCAUUUUCAUGUGCCUAGGAAAUACCCAUUGCACGAUUUGCACCUUUAGGAUCACCUAUGUAUUAAGAAAUUUGAUUAACCUACUACAUUAUGUAAAUAGCUAUGUUAUAAUCUAUUAUAUCAAUGUUUUCAA